RNAcentral lists this ribosomal RNA (48 nucleotides) under Symbiodinium sp. mizugama 8 col-8. RNAcentral's name for it is "partial 28S ribosomal RNA". The record is from RNAcentral. RNAcentral also lists the same sequence under 1 other name. Lineage: Eukaryota; Dinophyceae; Suessiales; Symbiodiniaceae.
GCAGGUGCAUGCCUCUAGCAUGAAGUCAGACAAGUGAACCCGCUUGAA